This 63-nucleotide transfer RNA is filed under the name Eisenia nordenskioldi nordenskioldi. RNAcentral's name for it is "tRNA-Glu". The record is from RNAcentral. Lineage: Eukaryota; Metazoa; Annelida; Clitellata; Crassiclitellata; Lumbricidae.
UUGUAUGUGGUGUAAUGAGCACAUUAGCUUUUCAUGCUAAAGUUAUACUUAGUAUUAUACACA